CAAUAGCGUAUAUUAAAGUUGUUGCAGUUAAAAAGCUCGUAGUUGGAUUUCUGGGAGAGUGCCAAUGUCCGCCGCGUGCGUGUUGCAGCGGCGCUCUUCCAUCCUUCUGUUAACCUUUCUGGUAUUCACUUACUGGUUUGGGGCUCAGAUAUUUUACCUUGAGAAAAUUAGAGUGUUUCAGGCAGGCAAUUGCUUGGAUACUUCAGCAUGGAAUAAUGGAAUAGGACUAUUGUCAAUUUUGUUGGUUAUUUGACUUUAGUAAUGAUUAAUAGGGACAGUUGGGGGCAUUAGUAUUUAAUUGUCAGAGGUGAAAUUCUUGGAUUUAUUAAAGACUAACUUAUGCGAAAGCAUUUGCCAAGGAUGUUUUCAUUAAUCAAGAACGAAAGUUAGGGGAUCAAAGACGAUCAGAUACCGUCCUAGUCUUAACUAUAAACUAUGCCGC
RNAcentral lists this ribosomal RNA (442 nucleotides) under uncultured eukaryote. RNAcentral's name for it is "bacterial SSU rRNA". It matches the Rfam family "Eukaryotic small subunit ribosomal RNA", at positions 592 to 1045 of the family's 1831-position model. The record is from RNAcentral.